Molecule: small nucleolar RNA, 73 nt
Organism: Megalops cyprinoides (Indo-Pacific tarpon)
Lineage: Eukaryota; Metazoa; Chordata; Actinopteri; Elopiformes; Megalopidae
Source: RefSeq, a predicted model, not a curated record
UUUGGAAGUGAUGAGCUAUGAUUACCGCCCCAGUCUGAAAUCAUGUGACUGAUUGGUACCCCUCUGAUCCACA